CCUCUUCCAAUCGCGGUCAACCGCGCCUAUAUACGGCGUGUCAGCGCAAGCUGACUAUGGUGAUAAACGGACGGUGUAAUAAACCCAUUGGACCCGGGGGCGGUACCCGGCGCCUCCACCAGAAUACAGAUCGUCUAGUGGUUUGUAUUGUGGCGGGGGCGAAACAGGAUCGACAAGGGUGUAAAGAUCGCUCUUUUACUCGGCAUGAUACCACCGUUAUCGGGUCAAUUGAGUAGUUGCAAAUGACAACAAAGCUCAGGGUUAUGCUCUCGCUGCCUAAUGGCGGCGCGGGAAACCCACUCUAAAGCCCUUAGGGUUAGCCCCUUAAGGCGGGG
This 335-nucleotide transfer-messenger RNA is filed under the name Brucella intermedia. RNAcentral describes it as "Ochrobactrum intermedium partial transfer-messenger RNA". It matches the Rfam family "Alphaproteobacteria transfer-messenger RNA". From Rfam's summary of the family: Bacterial tmRNA, also known as 10Sa RNA or SsrA, is named for its dual tRNA and mRNA-like properties. The record is from RNAcentral. Lineage: Bacteria; Pseudomonadati; Pseudomonadota; Alphaproteobacteria; Hyphomicrobiales; Brucellaceae.